ACUCGCUAAAUCUCGCGAAACUUCAGAAUAAGCAUGGCGGACGAUAUGCAGGAAGAAGAAAUUGCGACGUUGAACAAACAUUCGUGCUGUUGCCACAAAUCUACAAGCUGAUCCUCCAUCUCUGCUGUCCACAUUAAUUUCACCUUGUGCUGCGCCAUGACUGUGUUUCUUAUGCUUCCGUCUUCAAUCAUCUUGCUUUCUGAUUGGAUAUUGUUUCGUUUCACGUGAUAAUCUCCAGAACGUGCGCGUGUUUGUCCUCGGGGAUCCCCCCACACAUCAGGAUUUCUGAUCGAUCGAGGCGCCUCCGACGUUCUUUCGAUCAGUGGUGACGUUUCCCCAUCACAGAGGCUAAGCUACAGUGUUGGAAUCCAGACCUCUCCUUGCUGGUGGACAAGAAGUGCUUCUGUUUGGCGACAUUCACCUCCAGAACGCUGGGCUACAACAGACCCAGUACAGACUCAGACAGUGAGAAAGAAUAGAAGAAACGCAUGCUUAUUGGAAAUACUCACACACGUACACAUAUGAGACCAAAAUAUAAUAUAUAAGAGCACAGGCAUGAGUUAGCAUGGCUCUUGGGUUGUAAACCUCUGUUAACAUAUGUGAUUUCUGUUAAAUCCAAGUUCCGAUCUAUCAUGACUGUUUUAUGAAUGUCUCUGUCUGUUGACUUUUAUUGUUGCCAUUUUCCUUUCUUCUUAAUAAACAUGUAAUUUGCACCAUGA
This is a long non-coding RNA of Micropterus salmoides (largemouth bass), 719 nucleotides long. RefSeq lists it as uncharacterized. The transcript is spliced from 2 exons. Lineage: Eukaryota; Metazoa; Chordata; Actinopteri; Centrarchiformes; Centrarchidae. The record is from RefSeq and is a predicted model, not a curated record.